GACGAACGCUGGCGGCGUGCUUAACACAUGCAAGUCGAACGGAAAGGCCCUGCUUUUGUGGGGUGCUCGAGUGGCGAACGGGUGAGUAACACGUGAGUAACCUGCCCUUGACUUUGGGAUAACUUCAGGAAACUGGGGCUAAUACCGGAUAGGAGCUCCUGCUGCAUGGUGGGGGUUGGAAAGUUUCGGCGGUUGGGGAUGGACUCGCGGCUUAUCAGCUUGUUGGUGGGGUAGUGGCUUACCAAGGCUUUGACGGGUAGCCGGCCUGAGAGGGUGACCGGCCACAUUGGGACUGAGAUACGGCCCAGACUCCUACGGGAGGAAGCAGGGGGGAAUAUUGAACAAUGGGCGGAAGCCUGAUGCAGCAACGCCGCGUGCGGGAUGACGGCCUUCGGGUUGUAAACCGCUUUCGCCUGUGACGAAGCGGGAGUGACGGUAAUGGGUAAAGAAGCACCGGCUAACUACGUG
This 468-nucleotide ribosomal RNA is filed under the name uncultured bacterium. RNAcentral's name for it is "partial 16S ribosomal RNA". It matches the Rfam family "Bacterial small subunit ribosomal RNA", at positions 28 to 507 of the family's 1533-position model. The record is from RNAcentral.